GUCCCUGUAGCUUAAUCACAAAAGCAUAACACUGAAGAUGUUAAGAUGGUUCACAAACCCAUGGACA
This 67-nucleotide transfer RNA is filed under the name Porphyrio porphyrio (purple swamphen). RNAcentral's name for it is "tRNA-Phe". It matches the Rfam family "tRNA". Rfam says of the family: Transfer RNA (tRNA) molecules are approximately 80 nucleotides in length. RNAcentral also lists the same sequence under 1 other name. The record is from RNAcentral. Lineage: Eukaryota; Metazoa; Chordata; Aves; Gruiformes; Rallidae.